UUUCCGUAGGUGAACCUGCGGAAGGAUCAUUCAUAAUAAAGUGUUUUAUGGCACUUUUUAAAAAUCCAUAUCCACCUUGUGUGCAAUGUUAGAUCUCGUCAAUCUUGGCGAGAUUUUUAUACAUCAACUCAUUCUUUAACUAAUUUGUCUGAAAAAUAUUAUGGAUACUUAAUUCAAAAUACAACUUUCAACAACGGAUCUCUUGGCUCUC
This 211-nucleotide unclassified non-coding RNA is filed under the name plant metagenome. RNAcentral describes it as "partial contains small subunit ribosomal RNA, internal transcribed spacer 1, and 5.8S ribosomal RNA". The record is from RNAcentral.